Homo sapiens (human) is the source of this 716-nucleotide long non-coding RNA. Ensembl annotates it as family with sequence similarity 86 member D, pseudogene. Its record names the gene FAM86DP. Lineage: Eukaryota; Metazoa; Chordata; Mammalia; Primates; Hominidae. The record is from Ensembl.
GGCCCCGCCCACGUCAUGGCGCCCGAGGAGAAUGCGGGGACCGAACUCUUGCUGCAGAGUUUCGAGCGCCGCUUCCUGGCGGCGCGCACGCUGCGCUCCUUCCCCUGGCAGGGGGGCGGCGGGCGAGCGGAGAGGCCCGCGGGGCUCGCGGGAGUCCAGGGGCAGACGGGAUGGGUCUCCGUGCUGAAACCCCCGGCGCUCCUGCCACAGCUUAGAAGCAAAGUUAAGAGACUCAUCAGAUUCUGAGCUGCUGCGGGAUAUUUUGCAGAAGUAACCUGAAGCUUUCACCGUAGACGUGCUGUAUUGCCCAGAAGCCAUCGUGUCGCUGGUCGGGAUCCUGCGGAGGCUGGCUGCCUGCUGGGAGCACCAGCAGUCUCCUGAGGUCUACGUGGCCUUUACCGUCCACAACCCAGAGACGUGCCAGCUGUUCACCACCGAGCUAGGCCGGGCUGGGAUCAUAUGGGAAGCGGAAGCUCAUCAUGACCAGAAACUGUUUCCCUAUGGAGAGCACUUGGAGAUGGCAAUGCUGAACCUCACACUGUAGGACUCACACACGACUCCAACGGGAUUGUGAGAAUCAAGUCAAUCUCAUGGGAAGAAUUUUUAUAUGGGAAAGCGGAUAAAACUUUCAUUGUACUGGAAUGUUUGGAGAAUGUUAAAUUCCAAAUCAGAAACCACAAACUGCCCUCUAAUAAGACAUCGGCUAUCUAAGCGUG